Molecule: transfer RNA, 74 nt
Filed under: Candidatus Endobugula sertula (Bugula neritina bacterial symbiont)
Lineage: Bacteria; Pseudomonadati; Pseudomonadota; Gammaproteobacteria; Cellvibrionales; Cellvibrionaceae
Description: tRNA-Gln
Rfam family: tRNA
About the family: Transfer RNA (tRNA) molecules are approximately 80 nucleotides in length. Their secondary structure includes four short double-helical elements and three loops (D, anti-codon, and T loops). Further hydrogen bonds mediate the characteristic L-shaped molecular structure. tRNAs have two regions of fundamental functional importance: the anti-codon, which is responsible for specific mRNA codon recognition, and the 3' end, to which the tRNAs corresponding amino acid is attached (by aminoacyl-tRNA synthetases). tRNAs cope with the degeneracy of the genetic code in two manners: having more than one tRNA (with a specific anti-codon) for a particular amino acid; and 'wobble' base-pairing, i.e. permitting non-standard base-pairing at the 3rd anti-codon position.
Source: RNAcentral
AGCAGCGUGGUGUAACGGUAACACACUGGACUUUGACUCCGGUAUUCCAGGUUCGAAUCCUGACGCUGUUGCCA